GACGAACGCUGGCGGCGUGCUUAACACAUGCAAGUCGAACGGAAAGGCCCUGCUUUUGUGGGGUGCUCGAGUGGCGAACGGGUGAGUAACACGUGAGUAACCUGCACUUGACUUUGGGAUAACUUCAGGAAACUGGGGCUAAUACCGGAUAGGAGCUCCUGCUGCAUGGUGGGGGUUGGAAAGUUUCGGCGGUUGGGGAUGGACUCGCGGCUUAUCAGCUUGUUGGUGGGGUAGUGGCUUACCAAGGCUUUGACGGGUAGCCGGCCUGAGAGGGUGACCGGCCACAUUGGGACUGAGAUACGGACCAGACGCCUACGGGAGGCAGCAGUGGGGAAUAUUGCACAAUGGGCGGAAGCCUGAUGCAGCAACGCCGCGUGCGGGAUGACGGCCUUCGGGUUGUAAACCGCUUUCGCCUGUGACGAAGCGUGAGUGACGGUAAUGGGUAAAGAAGCACCGGCUAACUACGUG
RNAcentral lists this ribosomal RNA (468 nucleotides) under uncultured bacterium. Its description in RNAcentral is "partial 16S ribosomal RNA". It matches the Rfam family "Bacterial small subunit ribosomal RNA", at positions 28 to 507 of the family's 1533-position model. The record is from RNAcentral.